RNAcentral lists this ribosomal RNA (857 nucleotides) under uncultured Bacillus sp. RNAcentral describes it as "bacterial SSU rRNA". It matches the Rfam family "Bacterial small subunit ribosomal RNA", at positions 30 to 872 of the family's 1533-position model. The record is from RNAcentral. Lineage: Bacteria; Bacillati; Bacillota; Bacilli; Caryophanales; Bacillaceae.
GGAACGGGCGGCGUGCUAUACAUGCAAGUCGAGCGGACAGAUGGGAGCUUGCUCCCUGAUGUUAGCGGCGGACGGGUGAGUAACACGUGGGUAACCUGCCUGUAAGACUGGGAUAACUCCGGGAAACCGGGGCUAAUACCGGAUGGUUGUUUGAACCGCAUGGUUCAAACAUAAAAGGUGGCUUCGGCUACCACUUACAGAUGGACCCGCGGCGCAUUAGCUAGUUGGUGAGGUAAUGGCUCACCAAGGCAACGAUGCGUAGCCGACCUGAGAGGGUGAUCGGCCACACUGGGACUGAGACACGGCCCAGACUCCUACGGGAGGCAGCAGUAGGGAAUCUUCCGCAAUGGACGAAAGUCUGACGGAGCAACGCCGCGUGAGUGAUGAAGGUUUUCGGAUCGUAAAGCUCUGUUGUUAGGGAAGAACAAGUACCGUUCGAAUAGGGCGGUACCUUGACGGUACCUAACCAGAAAGCCACGGCUAACUACGUGCCAGCAGCCGCGGUAAUACGUAGGUGGCAAGCGUUGUCCGGAAUUAUUGGGCGUAAAGGGCUCGCAGGCGGUUUCUUAAGUCUGAUGUGAAAGCCCCCGGCUCAACCGGGGAGGGUCAUUGGAAACUGGGGAACUUGAGUGCAGAAGAGGAGAGUGGAAUUCCACGUGUAGCGGUGAAAUGCGUAGAGAUGUGGAGGAACACCAGUGGCGAAGGCGACUCUCUGGUCUGUAACUGACGCUGAGGAGCGAAAGCGUGGGGAGCGAACAGGAUUAGAUACCCUGGUAGUCCACGCCGUAAACGAUGAGUGCUAAGUGUUAGGUGGUUUCCGCCCCUUAGUGCUGCAGCUAACGCAUUAAGCACUCCGC